RNAcentral lists this ribosomal RNA (301 nucleotides) under uncultured bacterium. RNAcentral's name for it is "partial 16S ribosomal RNA". It matches the Rfam family "Bacterial small subunit ribosomal RNA", at positions 509 to 807 of the family's 1533-position model. The record is from RNAcentral.
CAGUCGCCACGGUAAAACGAAGGGUGCAAGCGUUAAUCGGAAUUACUGGGCGUAAAGCGUGUGUAGGCGGUGAGUUAAGUCUGCUGUGAAAUCCCCGGACUCAACCUGGGAAUGGCAGUGGAUACUGGCUCGCUAGAGUGUGUCAGAGGAUGGUGGAAUUCCCGGUGUGGCGGUGAAAUGCGUAGAGAUCGGGAGGAACAUCAGCGGCGAAGGCGGCCAUCUGGGACAACACUGACGCUGAGGCACGAAAGCGUGGGGAGCAAACAGGAUUAGAUACCCCCGUAGUCCCUGUCUCUUAUAC